AAGGAUCAUUAACGAGUUUUGAAAGGGGUUGUCGCUGGCCUUUCACGAGGCAUGUGCACACCCUGCUCAUCCACUCUCAACCUCUGUGCACUUAUUGUAGGUCGGUGGAAGGCUCGCAAGAGCUGGAAGCCUGCUUAUGUUUUACUACAAACACUUCAGUUAUAGAAUGUUUACUUGCGUAUAACGCAUUUAUAUACAACUUUCAGCAACGGAUCUCUUGGCUCUCGCAUCGAUGAAGAACGCAGCGAAAUGCGAUAAGUAAUGUGAAUUGCAGAAUUCAGUGAAUCAUCGAAUCUUUGAACGCACCUUGCGCUCCCUGGUAUUCCGGGGAGCACGCCCGUUUGAGUGUCAUGGUAUUCUCAACCUUCCUCACUUUUGUGACUGGAAGGCUUGGAUGUGGAGGUCGUGCGGGCUCUCGCGAGUCGGCUCCUCUGAAAUGCAUUAGCGUGAACGUUUACGGAUCGCUAUCAGUGUGAUAAUUAUCUGCGCUGUUAGUGUUGAAGUAUUGCUUAGUGUCGCGCUUCUAACCGUCCUUCAGUUGGACAACUUAUCUGACAUCUGGCCUCAAAUCGGGCGGGACUACCCGCUGAACUUAA
Molecule: ribosomal RNA, 596 nt
Filed under: Hyphodermella sp. Gall_19
Lineage: Eukaryota; Fungi; Basidiomycota; Agaricomycetes; Polyporales; Phanerochaetaceae
Description: eukaryotic LSU rRNA
Rfam family: 5.8S ribosomal RNA (bases 198-351)
Source: RNAcentral